UGGAUUGAAUUUGUUAUAUUCUGGACAGUGGCAAUAGAUAAGAGACCAUCUUUUGUGAAUUAUAUAUCUAUGCUUGCUAUAUGUUACUGCCUUAUAAGUUAUUCGUAAUAGAUAAGGGAUCAUAUGCUUUGUUUAUAUUGUUAUUAUUUUGUUGUUAUUUUCCUUCCAAUUCUGCUUUGAGUAGUGCAACUUAAAUUUGCA
Molecule: long non-coding RNA, 201 nt
Filed under: Capsicum annuum
Lineage: Eukaryota; Viridiplantae; Streptophyta; Magnoliopsida; Solanales; Solanaceae
Description: long non-coding RNA (CANN_LNC014362)
Source: RNAcentral